RNAcentral lists this ribosomal RNA (253 nucleotides) under uncultured bacterium. Its description in RNAcentral is "partial 16S ribosomal RNA". It matches the Rfam family "Bacterial small subunit ribosomal RNA", at positions 524 to 776 of the family's 1533-position model. The record is from RNAcentral.
UACGGGGGGUGCUAGCGCUAUUCGGAAUCAUUGGGCGUAAAGGGCGCGUAGGCGGUCUUUUAAGUCAGAUGUGAAAGCCCUCGGCUUAACCGAGGAAGUGCAUUUGAUACUAAGAGACUUGAGUAUGGGAGAGGGAAGCGGAAUUCCUGGUGUAGCGGUGAAAUGCGUAGAUAUCAGGAGGAACACCGGUGGCGAAGGCGGCUUCCUGGACCAAUACUGACGCUGAGGCGAGAAGGCGUGGGGAGCAAACAGG